UUCCUCUGAUGUUUCCCUUAGAAUGAACUACUAUUGUAGGUGAAUUGUUUUAUUAGAAAUCGUUUUAUUAGAAAAAGUGACUGAUUAGAGGUCUUGGGAAAAAAAUGAUCUCAACCUUUUCUCAAACUUUAAAUGGGUAGGAAGCCCGGCUUGCUGGUAUAGAGCUGGGUGUGGAAUGAAGGUGCCCAGCGAGCUACUUUUGGUUCAGCAGAAGUGGUACUGCAGGAUGCACAGAAUGUUAGUGAAGGCGCCUGCUGUGGAUACUCAUUAGACCCCAGGAAAGGUAUUGGUUGUUACAGACAGCAGGACAGUAGCCAUUAAAGUCAGAAUCUGCUAAGGAGUGUAUAACAACUGACCUGUGGAUGCAUCUGACCCUGAAAAUGGAUGGCACUGGGCCACCAGGCCCAUAUUCGGCCUUCUUAGGCAGUGGACACACUAGAGACGCUGGCAGGAAAAGGGCCUUAGCAGCCUGGAUCCCCCUCAUGCAUGCCAGGGUGUGACAAGCAAGGCAGCUGCAGUACAGCUUGAAGCCUAGGUAUGGGCCUGGGUGGAGCUGUAGAUG
Molecule: non-coding RNA, 562 nt
Filed under: Chlorocebus sabaeus (green monkey)
Lineage: Eukaryota; Metazoa; Chordata; Mammalia; Primates; Cercopithecidae
Description: Eukaryotic large subunit ribosomal RNA
Rfam family: Eukaryotic large subunit ribosomal RNA
Source: Rfam by way of RNAcentral